Molecule: ribosomal RNA, 906 nt
Filed under: uncultured bacterium
Lineage: Bacteria
Description: bacterial SSU rRNA
Rfam family: Bacterial small subunit ribosomal RNA
Source: RNAcentral
AGAGUUUGAUCAUGGCUCAGAACGAACGCUGGCGGCGUGCUUAACACAUGCAAGUCGAACGAGAAAGAUUUCUUCGGAAAUUGAGUAGAGUGGCGCACGGGUGAGUAACGCGUAGGUAAUCUACCCUAAUAUUUGGGAUAACAUUGGGAAACUGGUGCUAAUACCGAAUACCCUUCUUUUCUGUCGGGUUAAGGAGGAAAGGUGGCCUCUUCAUGAAAGCUACCGUAUAAGGAUGAGCCUGCGUACCAUUAGCUAGUAGGUGGGGUAAAGGCCCACCUAGGCUACGAUGGUUAGCGGGUCUGAGAGGAUGAUCCGCCACACUGGAACUGGAACACGGACCAGACUCCUACGGGAGGCAGCAGUGAGGAAUAUUGCGCAAUGGGGGAAACCCUGACGCAGCGACGCCGCGUGAGUGAGGAAGGUUUUCGGAUCGUAAAGCUCUGUCAGAAGGGAAGAAGUGUUAUACAGUUAAUACCUGUAUAAUUUGACGGUACCUUCAGAGGAAGCACCGGCUAACUCCGUGCCAGCAGCCGCGGUAAUACGGAGGGUGCGAGCGUUGUUCGGAAUUACUGGGCGUAAAGGGCGCGUAGGCGGCCCGAUAAGUCAGGUGUGAAAGUCCACGGCUCAACCGUGGAAGUGCAUUUGAAACUGUCAGGCUUGAGUAUCGGAGGGGAAAGUGGAAUUCCCGGUGUAGAGGUGAAAUUCGUAGAGAUCGGGAGGAACACCGGUGGCGAAGGCGACUUUCUGGACGAAUACUGACGCUGAGGCGCGAAAGCGUGGGGAGCAAACAGGAUUAGAUACCCUGGUAGUCCACGCCGUACACGAUGUGAACUAGGGAUAGGGGGUGUUGAUCCCUCCUGUCCCGCAGCUAACGCAUUAAGUUCACCGCCUGGGGAGUACGGUCGC